GCGCCCGUGGCUCAGCUGGAUAGAGCAUUCGGCUACGAACCGAAAGGUCGCACGUUCGAAUCGUGCCGGGCGCACCA
This 77-nucleotide transfer RNA is filed under the name Pseudodesulfovibrio piezophilus C1TLV30. RNAcentral's name for it is "tRNA-Arg (ACG) (tRNA-Arg-ACG-1-1)". It matches the Rfam family "tRNA". Rfam says of the family: Transfer RNA (tRNA) molecules are approximately 80 nucleotides in length. Their secondary structure includes four short double-helical elements and three loops (D, anti-codon, and T loops). Further hydrogen bonds mediate the characteristic L-shaped molecular structure. tRNAs have two regions of fundamental functional importance: the anti-codon, which is responsible for specific mRNA codon recognition, and the 3' end, to which the tRNAs corresponding amino acid is attached (by aminoacyl-tRNA synthetases). tRNAs cope with the degeneracy of the genetic code in two manners: having more than one tRNA (with a specific anti-codon) for a particular amino acid; and 'wobble' base-pairing, i.e. permitting non-standard base-pairing at the 3rd anti-codon position. Lineage: Bacteria; Pseudomonadati; Thermodesulfobacteriota; Desulfovibrionia; Desulfovibrionales; Desulfovibrionaceae. The record is from RNAcentral. RNAcentral also lists the same sequence under 4 other names.